RNAcentral lists this small nucleolar RNA (107 nucleotides) under Gossypium hirsutum (cotton). Its description in RNAcentral is "Plant small nucleolar RNA R71". It matches the Rfam family "Plant small nucleolar RNA R71". From Rfam's summary of the family: R71 is a member of the C/D box family of snoRNAs containing the C (UGAUGA) and D (CUGA) box motifs. Lineage: Eukaryota; Viridiplantae; Streptophyta; Magnoliopsida; Malvales; Malvaceae. The record is from Rfam by way of RNAcentral.
AACCCAUGGUGAGGGUACCCUCUCAAGAGGUCCUUGUAUCUCUUCCAUGCAUCAUAGAGUGUUUCUAAAUCCAUCUGCACAAAGGAAGAAAUAUCAUUACGUAAUUU